Molecule: long non-coding RNA, 962 nt
Organism: Felis catus (domestic cat)
Lineage: Eukaryota; Metazoa; Chordata; Mammalia; Carnivora; Felidae
Exons: 2
Source: RefSeq, a predicted model, not a curated record
AUCAUGACCUGAGCUGAAGGAGGAUGCUUAACCGACUGAGCCACCCAGAUUUGGCUCUGGUCCUGAGUCCACUUUGAAAAUCCGGGGGCAGGAGCUCAUUUUAAAGGAUCAAGAUUACCACCCAUUAAAAACAAAGCGCUGCGAUGCUGCCUUGAGUACAGCAAUGAUGAGGGUGAAGCAUAUUUAAUUCAAAUUUCAACUAGGUUUGAAGAAGCAACGAGUGAAUAUUGGUCAAGAGAGGGCAAUGCAGCAUCUCUCCUGUGGAAGAAAGAACCAGAGAUGGAUAUCUUCCAGCUCCAAACAGAGACAGUGAGCAGAUUUGCAGUUAUAAAGUGUGGUGGUGGGUGAAGAUAAUUGAAGCCUUGAGAUUUGUGCUCAUCAGACCCUUAUUGCUUCUGCCUCAUUUCCUGCUUGACCAUGAAGGACUAAGGAUCCAGAGAGCCCCCAAACUGUGCCAUGGUUGUCAUAAGCCACCCAUUAAAAAAAAUGGUUUUUUUAAAAAGGAUUCUUUUUAGUUAAAUUAUCAAGGAAAACACUGUGCUGAGGAUGAGCAACCUCUCAAUACUAAAUAUUUACAUGGAUCCUGCGUAAGGCAAUAUUUAGUGGGGAAAAAAAAACAAGUGGGGAGCGAACACGAGGGUAAUUUCUGAAACAGCGUUAUUUCCGACGUACUCCGACAAUGAGGUACUUAAUGAAACUUCUCCAACUUCUGAUUUAAAUUCUUUGUAAGAAAGUUAACACCUUCAGAAGCUGUCUGUUAAAAAUAGACAAAAAUAAUUCUGCAGCUACAGCAUCACUUCCUGGAUCUGAUUUGUAAAUCUCAUGACAGCUAUUUCUUUGUUGUUGUUUCCUGACAAUAGUGCUUGUCAGAGCCUUGAGGUGCCUAAGUCCUAAAUCAUGAAAUUCUGAGGCAGUCCCUCCUAUUAGCACUGUGCUGAGUUAACAUUAAAUGAGUACCUAAC